GUCUGAGAGGAUGGCCAGCCACAUCGGGACUGAGACACGGCCCGGACUCCUACGGGAGGCAGCAGUCGGGAAUAUUGGACAAUGGGCGCAAGCCUGAUCCAGCAAUACCGCGUGUGUGAAGAAGGCCUGCGGGUUGUAAAGCACUUUCAGUUGGGAAGAUAAUGACGUUAC
RNAcentral lists this ribosomal RNA (171 nucleotides) under Thiothrix caldifontis. RNAcentral's name for it is "partial 16S ribosomal RNA". It matches the Rfam family "Bacterial small subunit ribosomal RNA", at positions 290 to 478 of the family's 1533-position model. The record is from RNAcentral. Lineage: Bacteria; Pseudomonadati; Pseudomonadota; Gammaproteobacteria; Thiotrichales; Thiotrichaceae.